RNAcentral lists this ribosomal RNA (847 nucleotides) under uncultured bacterium. RNAcentral's name for it is "bacterial SSU rRNA". It matches the Rfam family "Bacterial small subunit ribosomal RNA", at positions 642 to 1501 of the family's 1533-position model. The record is from RNAcentral.
UUGAGUACAGUAGAGGUGGGCGGAAUUCGUGGUGUAGCGGUGAAAUGCUUAGAUAUCACGAAGAACUCCGAUUGCGAAGGCAGCUCACUGGACUGCAACUGACACUGAUGCUCGAAAGUGUGGGUAUCAAACAGGAUUAGAUACCCUGGUAGUCCACACAGUAAACGAUGAAUACUCGCUGUUUGCGAUAUACAGUAAGCGGCCAAGCGAAAGCAUUAAGUAUUCCACCUGGGGAGUACGCCGGCAACGGUGAAACUCAAAGGAAUUGACGGGGGCCCGCACAAGCGGAGGAACAUGUGGUUUAAUUCGAUGAUACGCGAGGAACCUUACCCGGGCUUAAAUUGCAGUGGAAUGAUGUGGAAACAUGUCAGUGAGCAAUCACCGCUGUGAAGGUGCUGCAUGGUUGUCGUCAGCUCGUGCCGUGAGGUGUCGGCUUAAGUGCCAUAACGAGCGCAACCCUUAUCUUCAGUUACUAACAGGUCAUGCUGAGGACUCUGGAGAGACUGCCGUCGUAAGAUGUGAGGAAGGUGGGGAUGACGUCAAAUCAGCACGGCCCUUACGUCCGGGGCUACACACGUGUUACAAUGGGGGGUACAGAAGGCAGCUAGCGGGUGACCGUAUGCUAAUCCCAAAAUCCUCUCUCAGUUCGGAUCGAAGUCUGCAACCCGACUUCGUGAAGCUGGAUUCGCUAGUAAUCGCGCAUCAGCCACGGCGCGGUGAAUACGUUCCCGGGCCUUGUACACACCGCCCGUCAAGCCAUGGGAGCCGGGGGUACCUGAAGUACGUAACCGCAAGGAUCGUCCUAGGGUAAAACUGGUGACUGGGGCUAAGUCGUAACAAGGUAACC